This 28-nucleotide non-coding RNA is filed under the name Mus musculus (house mouse). Lineage: Eukaryota; Metazoa; Chordata; Mammalia; Rodentia; Muridae. The record is from RNAcentral.
UGUACUGUGCCAGCAGGGAAGAAAUGGG